This 73-nucleotide transfer RNA is filed under the name Endomicrobium sp. Its description in RNAcentral is "tRNA-Arg". It matches the Rfam family "tRNA". Rfam says of the family: Transfer RNA (tRNA) molecules are approximately 80 nucleotides in length. Their secondary structure includes four short double-helical elements and three loops (D, anti-codon, and T loops). The record is from RNAcentral. Lineage: Bacteria; Pseudomonadati; Elusimicrobiota; Endomicrobiia; Endomicrobiales; Endomicrobiaceae.
GCUCCCAUAGCUCAAUUGGAUAGAGCACUGGUUUCCGGGGCCGGUGAUUCCGGUUCAAGUCCGGAUGGGUGCA